Molecule: long non-coding RNA, 392 nt
Filed under: Mytilus galloprovincialis (Mediterranean mussel)
Lineage: Eukaryota; Metazoa; Mollusca; Bivalvia; Mytilida; Mytilidae
Source: RNAcentral
AGCCUCAGUAUCCAACAGACUCUCACCAAUUAGAACAUCUCGAUCUUUUAUACACAUGGUCAGUCCCCACUCGUCUUCAAGUUUUGGUGCUAAGACAUCUUUUUAUCCAAAUAAUAUCUCUCCCUCAUAAGACAUAUAUACACGUUACUGGUAUGUCUUUCGAACUUUUUUUUUCAAUAGUACGCCGAAUUACUCCAUAAAUAGAGAAGGCAAUCUUCCAUCUUUUACUAUACAACAGAAGCAGUAACGAGAUUGUAAUACAUGUAGAUAACAAUGUUGAAGCAAAGGUUAACCACAUAGUACUCUUACAGUCGGCGAACAAUUCGGAAAAAGAGUUGUAGGCAGUAAGUGUAUCAGUAACGCUUCCAUUUGAUAAUUGACAUUUAUAAGAC